UGAACGCUGGCGGCGUGCCUAAUACAUGCAAGUCGAGCGAACGGACGAGAAGCUUGCUUUUCUGAUGUUAGCGGCGGACGGGUGAGUAACACGUGGAUAACCUACCUAUAAGACUGGGAUAACUUCGGGAAACCGGAGCUAAUACCGGAUAAUAUUUUGAACCGCAUGGUUCAUAAGUGAAAGACGGUCUUGCUGUCACUUAUAGAUGGAUCCGCGCUGCAUUAGCUAGUUGGUAAGGUAACGGCUUACCAAGGCAACGAUGCAUAGCCGACCUGAGAGGGUGAUCGGCCACACUGGAACUGAGACACGGUCCAGACUCCUACGGGAGGCAGCAGUAGGGAAUCUUCCGCAAUGGGCGAAAGCCUGACGGAGCAACGCCGCGUGAGUGAUGAAGGUCUUCGGAUCGUAAAACUCUGUUAUUAGGGAAGAACAUAUGUGUAAGUAACUGUGCACAUCUUGACGGUACCUAAUCAGAAAGCCACGGCUAACUACGUG
RNAcentral lists this ribosomal RNA (495 nucleotides) under uncultured bacterium. Its description in RNAcentral is "partial 16S ribosomal RNA". It matches the Rfam family "Bacterial small subunit ribosomal RNA", at positions 30 to 507 of the family's 1533-position model. The record is from RNAcentral.